CCUACGGGAGACAGCAGUGGGGAAUAUUGGGCAAUGGGCGCAAGCCUGACCCAGCAACGCCGCGUGAAGGAAGAAGGCCCUCGGGUUGUAAACUUCUGUUAACAGGGACGAAGAAAGUGACGGGACCGGGUGAAUAAGCCACGGCUAACUACGGGCCAGCAGCCGCGGUAAUACGUAGGUGGCAAGCGUUAUCCGGAUUUACGGGGUGUAAAGGGCGGGUAGGCGGGAGAGCAAGUCAGACGUGAAAUUCCAGGGCUCAACCCUGGAACUGCGUGGGAAACUGUUCUUCUUGAGUGCUGGAGUGGCAGGCGGAAUUCCGUGUGUAGCGGUGAAAUGCGUAGAUAUCCGGAGGAACACCAGUGGCGAAGGCGGCCUGCUGGACAUUAACUGACGCUGAGGCGCGAAAGCGUGGGUAGCAAACAGGAUUAGAUACCCGAGUAGUC
This 443-nucleotide ribosomal RNA is filed under the name uncultured bacterium. RNAcentral describes it as "partial 16S ribosomal RNA". It matches the Rfam family "Bacterial small subunit ribosomal RNA", at positions 338 to 795 of the family's 1533-position model. The record is from RNAcentral.